This is a non-coding RNA of Callithrix jacchus (white-tufted-ear marmoset), 507 nucleotides long. The record is from RefSeq and is a predicted model, not a curated record. Lineage: Eukaryota; Metazoa; Chordata; Mammalia; Primates; Cebidae.
CACCUGCCCCUCCCAGCCUCUGCAUUCUCCACACCCCUUAGGCAUGGCUUCCUUCCUCCCCGCCCUCUGCCAGACCUGGCCAGUCAGCUGCUGGACCAGACAAGGGCCUAGCCCUUUCAGUGCCUGCAUCUUUGUCUGCAGCACCAGAAGCAGCCUGAUGCCCCAGAAGAAAAACCCCGACAGCUUGGAGCUGAUCUGGAGCAAAGCAAGGGUGUGUGUUUGGGCAGGGCGCUGGAAAAGGCAAUGCACCUGACCUCUGGGGAAGCUGAUCUGAGAGGCACGCGGGACGUCUUGGUGUGGGGAAUCUGUGUGGAGAUACGUCUGGAGACAGUGAGUCAUACUUCCUGACCUUAUAACCAUGCAGCUCAGCAGUCUCUGCGAGAGUCGGCUCCCUGCAAUUUGUGUUCCAGGAUCCAUGGAGCACGUAACACAUCCUGAUGCUGUUCUCAGCCUUCUAUGGCCUCUUGGUCACCGUUUCCUACCAUCUGAGCUGGCAGAGCAGUGACC